Molecule: long non-coding RNA, 16124 nt
Organism: Numida meleagris (helmeted guineafowl)
Lineage: Eukaryota; Metazoa; Chordata; Aves; Galliformes; Numididae
Exons: 4
Source: RefSeq, a predicted model, not a curated record
CUGAACAAGGCAUCACAGCUAUGUUUUGUGUUUGUAUGGCCAGGCUGGAUAUUAGGAAAAGCAUUUCAUAGAAAGAGUGGCGAGGUGUUGGCACAGGCUGCCCAGGGAGCAGUGGAGUCACCAUCCCUGGAGGUCUGUAGAAUGAAGAUAAAAUGCUGCUCAAAUUGCUGGGGAGCUCAGAGCCCAAUUAAGAAGUACACAAUAAUUAAAGCGAGCUCCUGUUCAUAUCCUGUACCCCUCGGUGGGGCACUGGAAGCCCUGGGAUGUGGGAGUGCAAGGUUGCAACAGAAACAAAACAAUACACUCUAAGACUGCUCACCAGAAAGUGGAUCCAUGUGUUAAUCUGGGAAAAGGAGCAUGAAAAUAACUGCAAAUCCUUCACAACUUUAUUGUAAUUUCUCACAGAUAGGACGUGGGCAGGAAAAACACCCGCUCUGCACUCAAGCCUCCCUGGUUCUGGGUGGCCCCACGCAAAGGGCCAGGCUAUGUUAAACAUGGGGCUGGUGCAAGAACAGAUGGAAAUCUUGGGGGAAGAGGUAAAUGGCUGCACUGCAUGGGGUGAUUGGCUCCUUGGUGCCUGGGCUGGCCCCUGGCCCGGCUGCACGCAGGAGACACGCGGGUGGCACGGCACUGGCAGUGCCUUGGCCAUCAGCACGGCCCCGUGCACCAGCGUCUAUGGACACAGAGACCUGGCCCCUCCCGGCUGCCCAGCUGCCUUUCUGCUAAUGCUCAUCUAAUUAACCAGCAGCCUGGAGUGGCUGAAACCAGGACAGCGGGAGAGCGAAGGUUUUCAUCCAAUAGGUUCCUGUCUCCAGCUCGAGAACCAGAAGAAAAACCCUUUUCAUAUGUUCUGAUCAAUAAGCAGGUGGUGUUCCCCUCCCCUCCCUUCCACCUUCUCCAACUCUUCUUUCUCCUCCCGGGCCAGAGACGCUCAUCAGAGCCUGCCCCUGUGCGGGGCUGGGAUCUGUACCCGGGGCAUUCUGCAGCUCUUGCUUUGUCCCGGGGCUGCCGUGCGUGCCAGAGCACACGCGCUGCGCAUCGGAGCGACACCAGCACGCUGGGCACAGCACAGUGAGCUCCCAGGGGGUAUCUGAGAGAGCAAGCCUUGGCAAUAAGUGGGGCAGGAUCCCCCCUCUGGGGGGUUUUUCAAUCAGUGACAUCUCUGAAGAGACAGUUGCUUUCCCCCCCCCCAUUGUCAGCAAAGCUACAGGACUGUGAACACGGCAGAAUCUGACCAGCAACUUUUGUACUGCAUAGGUAUCGGCAAGGGUUAACAAGAAGCAACAUUUUGUUUUGCUGUGCAUCUUCGGUCUCUGGAAGGAGCUGCUUCAGCUGGUGUACAUGCAUUCUUCUUCCUAAGGUGUCUUCUGAAAAUUAGCUCCAGCAUGUCAUCAGUGGUGGAGAAAUGAUUAUGGAAAAGCAGCUGUCCAUCCCCUCCUGCCAACUCCCAGCGAGACAGCGGGAGGGGGAACGGCUCCUCUGGGUGCUGGCUGCUGGCAGCAGCUCCCAUGGUGCCUGGUGCCAGGCACUGGUGUACGGAAGCAGCUUGGAGCUCUGGCCUUUUCCACCUCAUCUCAAUGAACUGGCUGAGAAGUGGCCAUGCAGUGCCCAAACUGGUGUUCAUCUUCAGGCCACCUCUAUCGACUGGAAGGGGCUUUAAUAACACCAACGGUGCAGCAGGAGCUGUGGAAGAUGCUGGCAGGAGACGCAGUGCUGUCUCAGCACUGUCAGUGUGCAGAGCAGGGACAUUUUGGAGGGGCAGAGAGGCCCUGCAUGUGUCCCUGUGGCUUCUCACAGAUGAAUCCCAUCUGCCCAGGGGGCAGCUGUCAUGGGAAGGAUCUGCAGAGGGAGCUGAGGGUCUCCCGCUGCUCCUGGCCCGAUGCUGUCACUGAACGUUUUUUUUAACAAUAAGAAAGUUGUGCAAAUCUUUGCCCAACCGUCAGCUUGCUCAUGCAGCCUGGCAGGGCUCUGCUUUAACUUCUGUAUUGUUUCUCCCCACAGGAGAGGAAUUACUGUCCUAUUUCUUCCUGCCAGAGUGAGGGACUGGAAACAGGCUGAAGGGGAGAGGAGCUAGAUGGGUGUCCCAGAGACCUUACAGACUCGGAGGAAGAUGAGCCAAGCUUAGUAGAUUCCUGUCACUCUGCCCCUUCCCUGGUACCUCUGACACCAAUUAGGAGCUGGGCUUAUUAGCUGUGCUCCUGCACCAGCCUCCAAACGCCACCGAGCAGCACCUGAGUCUGGUGCAGAAUGUAGUGUCUCAGGAUGCUGUAGCCAAGAGGGAGGUGAGUCUGCACCUGGUGGUGGGGAGCCUGGCCGCAGCCAGAUGUGAGCUCCUUCCCAGCGCUCCCCCCUUCCCCUUGCCCUAGCCUCAGGCCAAACAGGGAAAAUCCUUCAGCAGAACCCCAGCUGGGGCUGCUCGCUGCCUUUCCAUAGCAACAGUCCAUCAGGGGGUCGGAGUCAGCAGCGAAAAAUGCUUCCUAGCUUUGCCUGCUGGUCGCUAUUUUGAUUGCAUUCCUGGGGAGCUGGGCUGCAGAUGUGGUGUCCUUAUCUUGGGAAGGUCUGAGUCAGUUUUUCCCUGUGUGAUGGAGCAGGCAGCUGAGGUCUGGAAGGAGGAAUAAAUAGCUUCCAAGGCAUGCUGCGGGUGUUGUUUGCUGGGGACAAAGUGGUGGUUCCAUCCUCCAUCCUGAGAUGUCCCUGCAGAGCAGACUUCAGACAACCCUGAUGCCUUGGCCAAAGGAAAAGGAGAUCAGGAGUGCUGCUCCAGGGAAGACCUGAGGAACAUGCCCACAGGAGAGGCACCACCAGCACGUGUUCAGGCUGUAUGACACUCCUCAACACACCAGCAGAUGUGGCAGCUCACAAGCUGGUUCCCUCCUGCUCAGCCUGCCAGUUCUUGAAGAAUUGGGAGCUGUGUGGAGCAGUGGCGGUGAAUGCUGCUCUGUUGGAAACUGUCCUCUUCACUUCUUCAAACGCAAGCAAAUAAGAAGCGAUUGUAAUGCUAGCUGCUGUCUCCAGAUCAAAAGUUUGCAGCUCGGAUCUGCUCCCUCUGCAUGGAUACGCUGUGUGGCUGUCAAGACAAGAGACCAAAGGUGGCAGAUAGGGUCCAAAGUGUGGUCUGAGCCCCUUUGCGAGGAAGCUCUGCUGAGGUCCUUUCUGUAUUUUUCCAUUCCUCCUUGUUGCCGAUGUCAGGGCUGAAGCACUCCGAGCUGAUGUUGCAGGAUGAGGUGCUGGCUCACUCUGACUGCCCUGACCCAAAGGGUCUCCAGAAAGCUGUGCUGAUCGACAGCUGCACAGCUACUGGGAGUAGAAAUUGGGGAGCAGAGGGCAAGGGCCAGCGUGUGCCAGGGCUCAGAGGGCAGCACACAGACCCGGGGCUUCUGCUCUUGCUUUGUCCAAAUCCCUUGUGUCUAUACCAGCACUGUAAAGCAUAGAUGUGGCCCCUUCUGGGGCUCCAGGAACCCCAGAAAUCAAAGUUCCCUUCAAGACCUGAGGCUCAGCAUCCUGUGUGCCUCAGUGGGCUCAACCUAGGUAGUUUUGUGCCUAAACAGAAGUCACCUGAAAAUAUGUUGUCCUCAGAGCUUGUCCAAGGUCAGGGAGGAAGCUGGUGACAGAGCCAGGAAUCAGAUCUGCCUUCCUGUCCCACCUGUCCAGCCUUCCGCUCCAGCCCCUCUGCACACACCCAUCCCAUGUCAUUCCUCACUGUCUGCCCGUAAUUUGGUUGUUCGCUGCUCUUUAUACUCUGGAGUGCAUAUCGUUGGUGUAUAUCUAUGUCAUAUUUUCUCAAAAAUCUAUUAAAUUCUCUUCAUUGCUCCCAGGACAUAAAGGGAAAUAGUGGCUGAAGGAUGCUUUCUGUAUGAGUAUGAAAUAUCGUCUAAUUAGCAAGCAGAGACGGCCACAAGAUGAGCAGAGAGAGGUGUGCAGGUUCCUUUAGGUUUGUCCACAAUGUGAUUUUCUGGUGUCACAUCAUUUAGAAGCACAGCAAGUUCAGCAUGUGGCAGCUUCCCUAUCCUUGGCUGGAGACUGGAGGGCUGCAGCUGUGGGUUGGGGUGCCGUGGGUGUGGGGGCUGAGCGGUGAUGACUUUGUCAUCCCAUUAUCUGGGUGCAAACCCAAAGGGGAGCCUGGGAGGGUUCCCCAGAUCUUCCCACUUCAUUUGUAUUGAUGAAGAGUGGAAGCACAUCCCAAAGUUUAUCUGGGAAGCCCGCAUCUCUGCAGCUUUUCUAAUUAUCCAUCCCCCCACUGUGUUUGUUCUGUUCUCCCCAACAAUUCCUCCUUUUUGCUGGCAGCAGCCAAUGCCGUGAACCACGGAGAGCAGCUUCACAGUGCUCCCGCUCAACCUGCAGCAGGGAUCUCUGAAAAUAGCUGGUGCGUUUGCCCUUUUGCAGAGAGCACCCAGGGAUGAGGAUUUUGCAACUCAGCUUGCAGUGUGGAGCGGGGCGUGGGGGGUUUUGCUACGGCUGCAUUUUUAUCGAUGCGGGUUGUUUGCACAGUGUGCGAAUCCCUGGUAGCAGCCAGAGCACGGCAGGUUCCUCUGCACCGAGUUUCAGAAUCCCAUGGCCACCAUCCAGACAGCCCCACAGCAGCUCUGUGGGGUCGCGCUGCCCACCUCUUCCUUUCCCCUACAUUUUCCUGGGGAAACCCCGCUCGUGGCUGCAGGGGAUGGAUGCAGAGACCCCAGCGUGAAGCAGUCUUCCUUGCAGGGGAUUUGACACCUGAAUAGCUGGGUGAUGUCUAGGAGGAAUUAAACAGCGCUGAUUUUAUCUCAGAUGUCAAUCUGGAAGAUUAAGGACUUUUUCUUGAGGGAUAGAGGAUGGUGGUAUUUUAGGGGCAUAUAAACUUUGAAAAUACCCUGUGGCAUCUAUGUUAAUGCAUCUUCCUGCAUUAUUAAAAUUCCUUACAGACUUCCAAACAACUCACAGUUUGGGCUCUAAAAUGCUGGUACAGGCAGAUCUGUGUGGGGGCAAAGCUCGGUGACUCCGUGCGCUCGGUGCUAUAAAGCAGACGCUCUCCCCUGCCUUCUUGCAGCCUUACAUGCUGCAGGCAGUUCUCUGCUCACACCCGAACCCACCCGCUUCUCGCUCAUCCCACUCCUUUGACUCCCAGCUCUGGAGCUGUCUCGGGCUCUCGGCACGUCCGAUGCCUCGGCUGCCAGGAGUUUGCUCUCCAACUGCUUCCCGGCCCCCUCGUGCAUGUGGGCACGGAGGGGGGGGGCCGUGGGAGCGGGGAAGGAUGAACAGCAGGAGAGUCUUCAGGGAAGGGAUGGGGGAAGCAAGAAGGGGGGAGCAGAAGUGAGAACAGGGAGGAGGAGGGAGAAAGGAUGCUGCCUUGUCUGUUCUCAGAUUUUAUAUUGGUUGAAUCGCACUGGGUUAGUUAAAACUGGUGCAGAGCUGCCUUCCCCUCCCCUUUCCUCCAGGCAGGCACUUGCAUUUGGGGUUGAAUGCCUUAAUUCACUUCAGCUUCAACCUGCUCCUGAUUGACUUGCACCACAUGGAAAGAAGCUCAGCUUCCCAAGCAAGCAGCAGCAGCGGUUGCAAAAUUGCACCUUAAGUUAAGUCAGUGUGAUUGUGUGCAUAAAGAAACCUUGAGCCUGGUGCAGACGUGUGCGGGGAUAACUGCAAAGGGCUUGUGCUGUGCAGUUCCGAGUCUGGGCUGUUCUUUUUGGCUUGGCUUUGGGCUGAGCAUGUUGGGGCUCGGGGCCAAGGAGCUUUAUGUCAGUGGGGUUCGGCUGUCAGUAGAUUUGCUGUCCCCUCUGAGUCCUCUCUGCUCCAUCCCUCUUCUCCCACUGCAGAUGUCUGCUAUAAAAAAGAAAAAAAGCCUCCACAAACGGCGUGGUAACAUUUUUACUGGAGGGCUGUUUCUGCUGCACAUCUGAUGCAUAUGACAGGGUCAGAUUAACCCAGCCUCUGCUUUCCAACCACAGCUAUUUGAAAGCACCAAAAACAAUGCAAAACAAACCGGAGGAACUCUGCCAUCCUGGCGAGGAGCUGGCAGGCUCUGGGGAUGUGCGAGCUGCAGGGAUGCACCCACCUGGUGCUCAGCAGGGCCAGAUGCUCGAUGAGGAGGAUGAGCUCUUAGUUUGGCAGUGAAUCUGGUCUCAAAGUCGGCCUUUCAGAGGACCAGUGGCUUUCCUUGGUACUUAAGGUUGGGACUUACAAAGAGCAAAAGGAGAGCUGUGAUAUUAAGUGGAACAAAGCAUCUAAUGCUGGGGGAUGCUCUCAAAACCCUCCUCUUCCUGGAGGAUGGCUCUUUUGUCACUGUGGAUGGGCUGUUUGAACCGAGGGCAGGAGUCUUUCUUCCUUCCUUGCCCUCUCCUUCCAGUUCCUCUGCACCUUCCAGGAUCAUUUUGGCUUUGCUACAUUUCUUUCCACUCUCUUUUUUUAAUUAUAUAAGCAGUGAUUUUCUCGUGGUUCUGGCACAGCUAGUGUUUUAAUUAGACAUCUAGCCUUCUCUGGUUAUUGGUGCUAGAAAACAGGGCUGGAAGGGACCCCUGGAGGCAGAUGUACCCCUGUGACAGAGCAAGUUAAGUCUGAAUGGUGCUUUCUUAGAGGGUGGUGACGCCCUGGCACUGCUGCCCAGGGAAGUGUGGGUGCCUUAUCCAUGGAGGUGCCCAAGGCCAGGCUGGAUGGGGCUCUGGGAAGCCUGAGCUGGUGGGUGGCAACCAGCAAGGGUUGGAACUGGGUGAGCUUUAAGACCCUCUUUGCAAUAGAGAGGUGUUUAGGGUCCUUGUGGCAGGUGAUGCUGAAGGGACAGUGAUACCAAGGGCAAGGGAAAGAAGAAGAGUGUGGGGACCCCGAAAGCUCCACUCCAUAAAACCUCUCCAAAAAAAAAAAAGAAAAAAAAAAAACAACCCCACUCUACCCUGUCCCUCACUGGGGCUGGGGCCCCUAUCUGUGACCCCUCAGCCCCACUGCAUGGAGUGGUUGCAGAGCAGCCCCAUGAAUCCCUGCUUGGUGAGGGGAGGACUGGCCAGCAGCCUCCUAGGACAGGGACUGGCGUGGGCACUGAACGAAAAGCUGAGGUGAGAAGGGGCGGGGGGGGGGGGAAGCCCCCAAAAACACCUAUGGAGAGGGAAGCAGAGUUGGAGCGGAGCUGAUUGCUGAUGGAGUUGCUAUGGCGACGUGGUGUGAGGAAACAGCAUAACACAGCCCGGUGUGGGGCUGAGGCCUGCAGGGGCCUUGGCCCCGCUUCUCUCCUCCUUCCUCUCUCACUGCUUUCCUUCCCUCAGAUGUGGUCUUCCUCGGCCCAGAACAGUCCCACUCCAAGCAGCGGGAGCCAUCAAGGCGGCUCGUUCCCCUCUUCUGCAGGGAACGUGUGAAGUCUGCUCCUCCAUAGGGCUGGAAGCAGCCUACUCUGUUCCCUGCAUCCCCCAUGCUGGGCCUGAGCGGGCCCAGGGCUUUGUUAUCCGGGCAGUGUGUGGGAUGGACUGGUUCCUCUGUCUCCUGACAGGUGACGCCUGGUUUUAAGAGAGGAAGAAGGCUUUGUUUCAUGUGCCAGCUCGUCUUCCUUUCUGGUGAAGCGAUGCUUCGUCACCAUGACGAGUCACUUCCCCUCCAUGAGUCAGAGAGGCUCUUGCAGGGUGCGUUGGGACCGACCGUUGGUGCCACGUUCGCUGUGCAGGAAGAGAAACCCAUGUUACCGUGCAGGGCUGGGGACCUGCCUGUAGAGCAGUGGCACCCACCUCUGCCCUUUGCAUUACCUAUGGCAAACCCUUUACUUCAAAGGCCCAGGUCACGGAGCUUGGAGUUUUGGUCUCAGCUUUCAUUGACAGAGUUAAGGUAGUCUUGGCAACUCCAUGAUCGUAGCGGAAGGAAGACGUAACCUCAACCACCAGAAAGCAGAAGGUGCACGGUAACCGCCCUGAAAUGACACUUAUCCUUUUAGAUCACCCUCUUAACUUUGCUUAGGGCUUGGCUAUGACACAUGAGUGCCUGAAGCUAGCAGUGCUGCGGAUGGGGAGCUCCUUCUGCUUUCUCUUCACUUCUCCCCUUUCUUGCCUCUGCUGUGGAUGCUCUCACUGUGUUGGUGUGCCUGCGUGUGUGCCCGGAGCUGUGAGCGCACACGUCUGUUCUUGUGCCUCUGUAGCUCCAUGUGCACGAAUGUGCUUGGGUUAGCCCAAGGUAUCUGCAGGCGUCUGCAUGGCAUGGGAGCAUGCAUUCCCCUUUCUCCUUCCUCUCAUUGGGGUCUCCUCCAGCUGAACCCCCCCACCCCAGAGCUUUCACCUUCCUGCACAGCAGUGGGCUACCACAGUGCCUCCUGCUUCUCCCUGCCUUUGUGCCCAUACCACAUUGGGCUGUGGUCUCCAGUAACUCAUGCUGACGCUCAAUAUCCAGAUGGCGCGGUUAGCAAGGCUGAGUGCAGUAAAUCUUCAUUACUGUUGCCAGUCUCGCCAUUCCUUGCUGUGGCUCUGACCAUCACCUCACCGCAGCUGAGUCAAUCGACCGCUCCGUGGGUUGCCAUCUCCUGUGUGACCCUGCUGCAGUUCACAGUAGAUGCCCAGUGGCUGGGUGCAGGGAUGAAGGCUAUCACCUCCUACCUCUCAGAGGGCUUGUUAAAUAAAGGCUUGAUUUUUUUGCUGCUUUCCAUUUGAACCCACCAGAGCCAUGGCAAACUGCAGAAUCUGCCCUUCCUGCUAACUCAUCUAUGUGCUUCCUGGUCUUCAGUGUUUGGAGGUGGUAGGCUGUGGAAUCAAUCUGUGGCUGCCUCCCUGUGCCUCAGUUUCCCAGCCUGUGCAACAGAGCCUGGGAAGCUGCUUCUCUCUCUUCCCCCAUCCUGGAGGGUCUUUGAACGUAAGCAUUUCUCUGUGCAGUCUGAAUGUUAAGGGUAGCUUGGCUAAGAGUUCACUUAAACCAAGGAUGGACAAAUAUCUGAAGGUCGUAAACACAGCUGAGUAAUUACUUAGAGUGGUCUAGGAGAUGUAACUAUGGAUAAUGGGAUAAAAGGAGGAGAGGAAAAUGUAGCAUAGUUAACAGAAAAUUCUCCCUGAUAUACCAUGCUUAGGGCUGCAGAAGGAAAACUGUAGGCCCUUGAUAAAUCUGAAGGGGUGGUUUAUGGAUUGAUACAAGAUACAAUGGCAGAGUCCCCAAGGAGAUGCAGUGAAUGGCCCGACUCCUGAGACUCUGCAAACUCUGCUUCGCAAAGCAGGUAGACCAUGGGAAGCGGAGCACUGGGGCGGGAGAUGAACUGUUCUACUGGCAGAUAUUGUUGGCAUGCGAUCAAAUGACUUUAAACUGCCUGUGAAUAAGCUUAGGGUGAGAACGGUGGAGCUGGUUUCUGAUGGAGGGAGGGAUGAGGCUCUGGGAUGGACCCACUGGAACAGGUGAGAAAUGCGAUGGCUUUGGAGAUGGAGAAGCUCAUGUGUAGGGUGAAACUGGCUGCUUGCAGGCAAUGAAUAUAGCAGCCUCCAGUCAGUCCUAAAUUCCUGUGCAAGGUGCUCUGGGAGGCUAGAGCCAUCGUUGUGUCCAGUGUUAUGCUACCAAUAAUAAACAGAGCUCGGAGAGCGCGGCAGUCUUCCUUGGCAAAGAUGCAGACAUUCUCCAAUGCAUCUGGAGAUUUUCUUCUUACCAUAGUGGAUGAUAUAUCUUGUAUUGCUAGGACCUCUAUCUAUAUUUAGUGAAAGUAAACCUCAAAAAAUUUCUCAUAUUGAUUUGAGGAAUGGGCCGAGUUGCCUAUGUGGCCAUUUCUACCUGAGUGUUUGUCAUCUUGGAAUUGACCCUGCAAGAUCACACGCACUGGGAUGGGAUCUUGUGAUGUGAUCUCCUUUUCUUCAAAAACUCCUAGAAAAACAAGAACAUGGUGUAGUAUCCAGGAAGCUGAGCAUCAUUUCUGGGGGCUCCUCUCUCCCUACAUGUCCCACAUCAAAUAUAAGAUGUGAGAUUUCUCUCCUUGGGCUCUCUCCGGACAUGCAGCUGAAAGAUGGCUUGGAAGGACAUGGGGAGAUCAAGGGUUGUGAGUGCAAGGACUGAGGCCAGGGACUGACACAGUCUUGGUGUCACAUUCAGCUUGUCAAACUCAAGUACAUGUGAAUGAUGGAGGGAUGGAGCUGCUGACUGCCCUGUUACCCCUGCUCAUGUGGCAGGACAGACAGACCCUGUGGGAAGCUGGACAUGGAGCAAGGUCACGCUUCUGGUUUUCCUGUCCUGCCUGCAGAGAGGGGCAUUGCCCCCGUGCUGCCACUCGCUGCCUGCUGGCACUUUGCUGCUUCCUGCUCGCAGCAGUGUUUUACAGGUUGCCCAGUAAUUCCUGGCUUCCUCAGUAGCAUGUGGGAUUUUAUCAGAGGCUUUAGGGCAAUCCUAACAAAUUAUAUCUACUGAUUUCCCUUUAUCCAUUGUUUUGUUGAUUCCACCGGAAAUCUCCCAGAGCAGGCGUGCACGCUUCGCCUUUCAGAAGCCUCCAGUUCGUUCCAUUUCCAUCGCGGCCAUUUAAUGUUUCAAUUAAUUUUUCUGGUAUUGAAUUAUUGUUCCGAGUAGCCCUCAAAAGGGGCGAGCAGAGGAGCAAAGCUGGCUGGGAUCUGGGUGUAGCCAUCGUAGUGUCCGCUCUUGGGUGCCAGGAGGGGAUGCUUUAGGUGGGAUGUUUGCAGAAGUGAUGUGUGUGCAGAGACAGCAUCCCUGCUCAGAGGAGCUGGGAAUAUCCUGGCAGUGUGAUGUCUAACAUGAUCCCCAAAAGCCCAGAUUGUUGCCAUGAAACACGGAUGCAGGAGCACGCUCGUCCCUGCGAUAGUUUAGCUGGCUGAGCACUGAGUUGCUCUGGCUUUGUCCUUGAAACCCAACGAGUGGGAGUUUGUGGCCAGGCUGGCUGCAGCGAUACGGAGCAACAAAACCAACCUGCGAAGGGUUAAUCAUUUCCAUUGCAAUUGUGUCAUCUCUUUGGGGACCUCUCGCUCAUUUUGCAAGCAGCCGCUGAAAGCCGAGGCGCGGGGGCUUUUUCUUAUUCAGCUGCACGCAGCUUCAGAAGCACUGGACAGCCGCACAGCUGUGCUCAGCCGCCUUGGCCUUGCAGAUGGAUGGAGAAAAGGAUUUGUGUGCGUGCGUGUGCUUGCGUGUGUGUGUGUGUGUGUGUGUGUCUGAAACCUAAUUGUCUGCUGUCUAAUCCGUCAGCCGGGGGGACAGCUUGCACAAGCCCCUUCCAGGCAGCCUGAUAAAUGCAGCGCUGCCAGGCCCCUUUGCGAUGUAGUUGGGUUUAAUUGGGAUUGCUACGUGCAUGGACUCUGCCUGUGCAAGGGAUGCUGCCUGUGGGGAUGCGUGCAGCCGCUGUCCCAAGGACUGGAGCUGCGCACCCAGCCUGGCUCCCGCUGGGGUCCUGGGAGCAGCGCAGUGACAGCGGGGUGACCCAGCACUUUGCAGUCCCACUGCUUCUGGGCUUUGAAACUUGCAUGGCUUCAGCAGCUCCCGAGGUGGUGCUGGAGAUACAGCAGGUUGCUGGGAUCGUGGGGUCUGGCUUGGGGGUGUCACCUGCUAUCUCCAGUGUCGUGCAAGGAAUGGUAGAGCAUCCUCACCGUGGAUCUGGGCAGGGGUGUGCCUCUCAAUCAUGCUCUCAGCCACAAGCACGUGGCAGCUCAGGGACUUGCCCAGCCAGAGUGGCGUUUUGUCUUUAAUACUCCUCUGUGGAUUUCCCAUGAAUUUGGUUGAUUUUUGUAAAUGCAUAAGCUUUAAUCCUCUCCAGAGAGCUGUGGCAAGGGCUUCCACUGCUUAACCACGUACCGUGUGAAGAGCCAUCUCCUCCUGUUCCUCUUGAAUCUGCUGCCUCUUAAUGUUAUUGGAUAUCUUCUGAUUCUUUUACUGGGAGAUGCAGUGAGCAAUUAAACUUGGUUUACCUUUUUGAGGCCCCAGAUGUGCCUCUCUAGUGGUUUGUUUUCCAGCUGAGGUCUUCCUCCUAUGGACUCACUGUUUGUUCAUCCUACUCUGGACUCUUCUCCAGCUCUGCUGGUGACAUCAGGACUCUGCAGGUGGUGACAUCCUCAUUCGUUAUAUAAUUAAGGGUGAUGUCAUGAUUACAGCAGAUGGGAUUUGCAUCAGCAUUGGUUGCUUAUUGCACAUUGAUGUCAGGAGACCGCUGUGUCUUGCCCAGUUAUGAGAACUUCUCUUGAAGCUGUUGAUCUUCAUUGUAGGGAGUCUAAAAUAAUAACAUUUUGCCUAUGAGUUCCCUGGCUGAAAGGGAUGGUGCCAAGCGGUUGUUUUUCAGGAAUCACUGUGCUUUGCAAGAUGUCCCUGACUCAAAUGAGCGAUGUGGCUCUGUCAUUUCAUGCCCCAGGUGCAGACACCUCAGGUUGGUACCCACCAACUCUUCCAUAAUAAAUGCACAUCAGGUUUCAGGGCAGGUGAUUCAAGGGAAUCACAUUUCCAGGCGAGGGAUUAUAGGACAGCAGACGGGCUACUUGUGUGGCAAUGCAAAUGGGUGCCCAAAUCUCCCCUGGGGCUGUAAUAGAACACCAUGGUGCUUCUGUACCCCAAACCUUCAGGAAGGACGUAGCCUGGUGCUGUGGGUCUGGGAGCAGGGAUGUGGGAGUAUGACAGCAUGUGGUGCACCCCUUCCCGUGGCUGCCCCAUUCCUCCUCCUCCCUCUCCCCUCUCCUUUGCCCUCUCUGUUCUUCUCUUUCUCUCCACACCUGCUCCUCUCUUUCCCUCCCCUUUUCUCUUUCCCUCUCCUCCUCCCCUUGCCUUUCUCUCCAUCCUCUUAUCUCAUCCCCCUUGUUUUUCUCCUCGCUGCCUGUCCGGCUGAUUUACAUGCAUGCUGCGUUGAAGCAGCUCAGCUGGAUCUAAUGCCUCCUGCCGCGAGGAGCAGAGCCGGCUCUGGCCUCGGUGCGGCACUUCCCGGGCGAGGGAGGGAGCACUCUGCACCCCCACACCUUGGCCCAUGCUUUGGCCCCUUCCCACAUUGCCUUCUGCUCUUCAUCCUCUCCCCUUCCAGCCCAUUUAUCCAGUGCUUCACUCCUGCUUUCACCACUUCUCCUGCCCAAGUCCUUGAUCCACGUGCCUGCAUCUCCUGCAGCAUCCCACGCACCAAGCAAACUUCCCCAUGAGACUGCUGCUUCUUGGGUGGGUGCAAGAGGAGGGGCCACAAAUCUGGGCUGACUGGGGGCAUUGUGCUCAAGCUGCCGUCGCCUUGGGGACUCAAUGCUGAAUGUCCCAGGUGGAGCCCAUCCUUUCCCAGCGCAUUUUUCCUCCACCCUCGUGUCCGUGCGCGGAGUAGGGAUCGAAGUGCCCACAUUAAUCGCUGGCUGUAAUCAUUCCCAUUUCCAUUUGGCUGAUUUGCAUUUCCGUGAGAGGAAGAUGCCCUGAUUAAUAUCCCCUCAGAAGAGCUUUAUUGCAAUGGCUCCUGCCUCUCUAAUUGGAAAGUGGUCUUAACCUUUCAUGCAAGUGGCUGGGACGUUCCCUGCCUGUCAACACCCUGGGAAGGUCUCACUUGUCCUGAGCCUGCGGGCAGUGGGAGGCUUGGAGGCUCUGACUGCACCAAAGCAGGGCAGAGCCCCUCUCCCCGAGGAGGAUGCUCAGGAGAGGAGCCCACCUUCAGACAGCAGUUGUGUCAAUAGAACCUGCAAAGGGGACCAAUGCUGGGAUGAUCCCAAACCAGUGAGCACCCAGCCAGCCGUGAGCGAGCAGCUUGGUGCUUCUGAGCUCACAUCUGUGUGCUAAUUAACAACCCAUGGAGGAGUGUGUUCCUGUGAUGUCGGCAGAGCUGUUCCCGUUCAGUGUGCAGCACGGAGGCAGGAUCCGACCCCACAGCUGGGAUCCUGCAGCUCGCGCUCCCCGGGGAGUCCCAGGCCCACCACUAACCAGCUUGAAAGCCUGCCUCGCACUUAGCUGCUUUCUGAUCUUCAAAGGCUCUGGAUGCCCAAGGAAAUCAGACCUCGUGGCUUUUCUUGCAGUGCAGUCCCCAGAUCCGACUCUCGUGCAAUUCAUUAUCCUGCCCUGUGCAGGGGGAGCACGCGCUGCUCUGAGGCUCUUCCUUGGGUGCCAGUCACAGUGCAGAGCAGCUCUCCUUGCCCACCGCCCUGAUGUGCUGAAGGCAAAGUGUCCAGAUGAGCACAGCCAACUUUGUCCCUCCCUGCUGACUUCCCAACACUGUACAGAGCUGCUUUGUUAAGACCCCAACCUGCCUCCCAGGCGCUUUUACCUCCCUUACUCCCUUUUACCUCCUUUAUUCUCUCCUUCUGAGGUUACAGAAGUGAUUUUAAUUAUUAUUAUUUAUUUUUAAUUUUGGUAUUUAAGCGGGUUUAGCGGCUGCAGCAAUGAGUGUUCCUGAUAAACAGCCGGGGAGAUUCAGGGAAUAAUCUCUGCUUGGUGACAGCAGAGGUGCCUAUUGCAGUUGCUGGCAGCACGCAAAGAGCUGCCCUCAUCCCUGCGUGCUCCACAGCCCAGGGAAGGGAAGGAUUGCCUCCAUCCUUAAUCACUGAAUCUGAAAUCCUAGCACCUGCUAUUCCUCAGAAAUCUAGGGCUGGUUUUAGCCUCUAAGAGAAAGGGCAGUCAUUCCUAUCCCCACCCAACCCUUUGCAUACUCCCAUCUGUGGGGCCAUGGGAUGAUCUGGGGCCAAGGAGAUACUUUUUUAAGGUGAAUAUUUGAUGAGAAGUCUGUCCCAAACCUGCAUGUGCACCAACUGCUUCUCCUGUGCCGUGGGGGGAGCUUUGUGCAGGGCUUUGCCAUGUGGGUCGGGGAGAAAUAGGCAGCUCUUGGGAGGGGAGCAGGUGCUGAAGAAGGGAGUUGGGAUGGGCUGGUGAGCAGCAGCUCAUCUCCUUUCACCAGGGGCUCAUACACAGAAUAGAAUUAUUGAGGUUGGAAAAGACCUCUAAGUUCUCCAACCCACCCCACCAUGCUAACUGACACGUCCUUCCGUGUCACACCUCCACGGGUCUGGGGCCCCUCUGGGGAUGGUGACUCAACCUCUCCCUGUGCAGCCUGUGCCAGUGCAGCACUGUUCUUUCAGGGAAGAAAUGUUUCCUAACAUCCUGAACCUCCCCAGCACAGCUUAAGGCCAUUACCUCUUGUCCUACCUCCAUGCUGUGGGCACAGGCUGUGCUCUGAAGGUUCAUGUAGCACUGUCCUGAGUUGUGUCUGCAUUGAAAUGGAUCCUUGUUGGGGCAGUAAAAAGUGCAGAUGGGAGGAUGUGGGAACGCAGGGAAGAGCCAGAGAUGCUUUGUUCUUGCCUCAAAUACACAUCAGUGAGAAAAACAUUCAACUUGUCCCCCUGAUGUAGACCAGGUCAAGUAGAGGAGCUGGGUUUUUGCUGUAGGAAUAAUCAGCAAGGUUCACCCAGCCUUACACAGACAGUAGAGGCUGGUGUUGGAGUUUCUGGAGACUCCAAAGGGAGAGAUGGGGCAAAAUCAAAAUCCCAGGAAAUAACUUCCCCCCUGCACCCCAUGGGAUGCUGAUGGGAAUGGCACUGCCUGAAGCAGAGCUGCCGUGGUCCAGCCCUGCCCGGGGCCUUGGAACUCACAGAAACUUUCCACUGAGUUCAGAGCAUCUGUAAAACUCCUGCUCUGGUUCAGGGGGAGGGAAGGGGCUGCAGCUUCAGCCAGGUCUGUUCUCGAGCACGGAGUGUUUAACAUAAAACACCUCCUGUUUCUGAGCAAAAACGCUCAGGCGUUGACUACCAACGUGAGCAGCAUUGCUCAAGCAAAUGGUGUUUACACCCCGAAGCCUUCAGACUUUCUAGAUUUCACCUGCUUCUCUGCAGAAACCCCUUGAGAAAACGCUACCAAACAAGGCAAUACCGGGGUGGAUAAAUUGCCUGGAACAAAUGAGCUGGAAUUCAUACGAGCCCAUUCCUCAUGGAAGAGAGGUGUCACUCCGGCAGUACCUGGGGGAAGUGCCCGCCUCGCAGAGCACGACCCCGCUCUGUCCGCAGCUGCUGUCCCUGCUUGGGGCUGAACGCGAUGGCAGCAAACAUGCGGCGCGCACGGCUUGCGCUGUCUCUUCUCAGGUGGGAAUUGUAAACAGCAGCAAAGCAAGUUUUCUGCUUUUCUCCUUUCGUGGAGGGAAGGGGGGUUUUGCGAGUGCUUCGGCAUCAGCUGCAGAGAUGGGAUGUUGAGAGGGAGGGUUGGGGCUGGGUGCUGCUGCAGGAGCUGAUCGCAGCGCUGGAGGCGUUCUGGGACGUGUACCCUCCAGCCGUCGUUGCUUGUCCCUCUCAUCCUGU